RNAcentral lists this long non-coding RNA (1438 nucleotides) under Erythranthe guttata (spotted monkey flower). RNAcentral describes it as "long non-coding RNA (EGUT_LNC002720)". Lineage: Eukaryota; Viridiplantae; Streptophyta; Magnoliopsida; Lamiales; Phrymaceae. The record is from RNAcentral.
UUGCAAAUAUAUUUGUAAACCACAAAUUUUUCGAAUCUGUAAAACAUAAAUACAAGACAAGAAAAAUAUAGGAAAACAAAUAAAUAUAUUAUCAAACGAAAGCGGAUUACAAUCUCCGUAAUUCCCCUGAUUCUUCUCUCCUAUUCUAAUUUUGAUUCAAGGGCUUAAAAGCUUGUUCUUGAAUCAAACAUAUGAUUUCCUAUCACGAACAUCUCGAAUCUAAAUAUGUUAUGAAUUCGAGGAAUCGAAUAUAUGAUUUCCUAUCACGAACAUCUCGAAUUCAAAUAUGUUAUGAAUUCGAGGCGGAGGCUCGAGACGUGAGCUUGAGAGCUCGAUAUGUGCCUGUGUGAGUCUGAUUUUUAGAUGCACCAAAGAUCUUCUUUUAUAGGCACAAGCUAGGGUUAGGGUUUCUCGACUUGCAGAGUGGGCCAGACAUUUUAAAGCCCAAAUAUAUUAUGGACUUUAAUUUGAGACCUAAAUUAAUAACCGAUCUAUUUUGGUUAUUAAUUAGUAAUUUAUCUCCAAAUUUCGAUGUCUACAAAUGCCCCUACUUCUAGUCUCGGCGAAGAACAUGUCGAGUAACUGUGAGACGAGACUUGAAGUACUUAAGUUUUUUUUCUUUUUCAAAACCCAUUUCUUCAAAUUUGGGAUUCAUUUGUAAUUUCUCCCUUUUGAUUGGCUGGCUCAAACGUAGUAUAUAUCGGUUUUCCGAAUUUGAGGCGCAAAUGACAUUUCUUUCUUUUCCACUUAGGGACCCAAUUGCAAUUUUGAAGAUUUGGCUAACAAUUGGAUUCAGCUUCCUCUUCUGCCCUACUUCGGAAUUUUGGCCACCAUAACCUGACAAGCUUCUCAUGGAAAACAUCUUUUUAAUUUCCCACGCACUUCGGAUACACUAUGAACAUCGGCAUCGAGGAGCAAUUCCCACGCACUUCGGACACACUAUGAACAUCGGCAUCGAGGAGGAGCAUGGGAUUUCUUGGAGGCAGCGUGGAUUUCCGGGAGAAGAGGUUUGCAUCGGCAGGAUUAGGUGAUGACUCCGGCGACUGAUUUAGGCGGCAAAGUGGAGUACGAUGGUGGAAUGGUCACUGCCUAUUGCCUAGUGUCUCUGGGAAAAGAUGAGGCAGUCCAGAGACGGCGGAUUUGAGAGAGCAAAAGUUUGCAGUGGCGGCAAUUCCGGGCUGUUACACGGCGGUGCGAGUUUCUUAUGUGAAUCCACGAAGCUCAGCAACAAAGAAGCGGCAGCAGAUUUUAGUGGCCGGAAGCCGGCACUGGCGGGACAUCGCCGAGCACAUUCGAACAGCCUUCUUGUUUGAUGGCGGUGGAGAGAAUUGUUCGUAGCUGUAGACCAUGCCCCCUCCUUUUUUUUUUUUUUUUUUUUUUUCGGCCAUCACUGUCGAGAAAGAAAAUCUUUCUUUAAAAAUAUCCUUGCCAAUAUUAC